GAUGAACGCUGGCGGCGUGCCUAAUACAUGCAAGUCGAGCGAACAGAUGAGGAGCUUGCUCCUCUGACGUUAGCGGCGGACGGGUGAGUAACACGUGGAUAACCUACCUAUAAGACUGGGAUAACUUCGGGAAACCGGAGCUAAUACCGGAUAAUAUAUUGAACCGCAUGGUUCAAUAGUGAAAGACGGUUUUGCUGUCACUUAUAGAUGGAUCCGCGCCGCAUUAGCUAGUUGGUAAGGUAACGGCUUACCAAGGCAACGAUGCGUAGCCGACCUGAGAGGGUGAUCGGCCACACUGGAACUGAGACGCGGUCCAGACUCCUACGGGAGGCAGCAGUAGGGAAUCUUCCGCAAUGGGCGAAAGCCUGACGGAGCAACGCCGCGUGAGUGAUGAAGGUCUUCGGAUCGUAAAACUCUGUUAUUAGGGAAGAACAAAUGUGUAAGUAACUAUGCACGUCUUGGCGGUACCUAAUCAGAAAGCCACGGCUAACUACGUG
RNAcentral lists this ribosomal RNA (497 nucleotides) under uncultured bacterium. RNAcentral describes it as "partial 16S ribosomal RNA". It matches the Rfam family "Bacterial small subunit ribosomal RNA", at positions 28 to 507 of the family's 1533-position model. The record is from RNAcentral.